UUACUAAAUAGCAUCAACACUGCAAAGAGACACCAUGAGGCGUGUGAUCGUGCUCUACUUUGCACUGAUGAUGAUUGCACUGGUGGGCCAUGUCUAUACUGAAAGUACGCAAGCUGUGCCCGUUGGUGUAGGCGGGAUGAAUUUGAACUCAUCAGUGAAUUCUGUGGUGGUAGAAAUAAAUGCAGUGUUUAAAAACAGUGGUGAUCCAUAAAUGAUGACCUUGUGGGGAUGAAGCACUAUUAUUUUAGCUUUUUCUUCCUUUAAAAGAAGGAAUUCAUAUUAAAAGUUUUU
Long non-coding RNA from Alosa alosa (allis shad), 291 nucleotides. RefSeq lists it as uncharacterized. The record is from RefSeq and is a predicted model, not a curated record. The transcript has 3 exons. NCBI's taxonomy places the organism in Eukaryota, Metazoa, Chordata, Actinopteri, Clupeiformes, Clupeidae.